CCUACGGGUGGCAGCAGUGGGGGAUAUUGCACAAUGGGGGGAACCCUGAUGCAGCGACGCCGCGUGGGUGAAGGAGCGUUUCGGCGCGUAAAGCCCUAUCGGCAGGGAAGAAAAUGACGGUACCUGAAGAAGAAGCCCCGGCUAACUACGUGCCAGCAGCCGCGGUAAUACGUAGGGGGCAAGCGUUAUCCGGAUUUACUGGGUGUAAAGGGGGCGCAGACGGCGAUGCAAGCCAGGAGUGAAAGCCCGGGGCCGAACCCCGGGACUGCUCUUGGAACUGCAUGGCUGGAGUGCAGGAGGGGCAGGCGGAAUUCCUAGUGUAGCGGUGAAAUGCGUAGAUAUUAGGAGGAACACCGGUGGCGAAGGCGGCCUGCUGGACUGUGACUGACGUUGAGGCCCGAAGGCGUGGGGAGCAAACAGGAUUAGAUACCCGGGUAGUC
RNAcentral lists this ribosomal RNA (440 nucleotides) under uncultured bacterium. Its description in RNAcentral is "partial 16S ribosomal RNA". It matches the Rfam family "Bacterial small subunit ribosomal RNA", at positions 338 to 795 of the family's 1533-position model. The record is from RNAcentral.